Molecule: ribosomal RNA, 450 nt
Filed under: uncultured bacterium
Lineage: Bacteria
Description: partial 16S ribosomal RNA
Rfam family: Bacterial small subunit ribosomal RNA
Source: RNAcentral
GUCGAGAAUAAUUCACAAUGGACGAAAGUCUGAUGGUGCAACGCCGCGUGGAGGAUGACGGUCUUCGGAUUGUAAACUCCUGUCAUCCGGGAGUAAGACCUGGCUGUGAAUAGCAGACAGGGUUGAUAGUACCGGAAGAGGAAGGGACGGCUAACUUCGUGCCAGCAGCCGCGGUAAUACGAAGGUCCCGAGCGUUGUUCGGAAUCACUGGGCGUAAAGGGAGCGUAGGCGGCGUGGUAAGUCAGAUGUGAAAUCCCGGGGCUACACCCCGGAACUGCAUCCGAUACUGCCGUGCUAGAGGAUUGGAGAGGUAGCUGGAAUUCUUGGUGUAGCAGUGAAAUGCGUGGAGAUCAAGAGGAACACUCGUGGCGAAAGCGAGCUACUGGACAAUAUCUGACGCUGAGGCUCGAAGGCCAGGGUAGCGAAAGGGAUUAGAUACCCCGGUAGUCC